UACGAACUGUGCAAACGUUAUUCGGAAUCACUGGGCUUAAAGGGUGCGUAGGCGGCUCGUUAGGUAGGGUGUGAAAGCCCCCGGCUCAACCGGGGAAUUGCGCCCUAAACCGGCGGGCUGGAGUGAGAUAGGGGUGUGUGGAACUUCCGGUGGAGCGGUGAAAUGUGUUGAUAUCGGAAGGAACGCCGGUGGCGAAAGCGACACACUGGGUCUCAACUGACGCUGAGGCACGAAAGCCAGGGGAGCAAACGGG
RNAcentral lists this ribosomal RNA (253 nucleotides) under Planctomycetaceae bacterium. RNAcentral's name for it is "partial 16S ribosomal RNA". It matches the Rfam family "Bacterial small subunit ribosomal RNA", at positions 524 to 776 of the family's 1533-position model. RNAcentral also lists the same sequence under 2 other names. The record is from RNAcentral. Lineage: Bacteria; Pseudomonadati; Planctomycetota; Planctomycetia; Planctomycetales; Planctomycetaceae.